RNAcentral lists this transfer RNA (72 nucleotides) under Solirubrobacteraceae bacterium. Its description in RNAcentral is "tRNA-Thr". It matches the Rfam family "tRNA". From Rfam's summary of the family: Transfer RNA (tRNA) molecules are approximately 80 nucleotides in length. The record is from RNAcentral. Lineage: Bacteria; Bacillati; Actinomycetota; Thermoleophilia; Solirubrobacterales; Solirubrobacteraceae.
GCCGACGUAGCUCAGGGGUAGAGCACUUCACUCGUAAUGAAGGGGUCGUGAGUUCAAAUCUCACCGUCGGCU